GUGGGGAAUAUUGCGCAAUGGGGGAAACCCUGACGCAGCGACGCCGCGUGAGCGAAGAAGGCCUUAGGGUUGUAAAGCUCUGUUUUAAGGGACGAAUGUCGUGGGGAGUAAUAUGCUCUGCGAAUGACGGUACCUUAAGAGGAAGCCCCGGCUAACUACGUGCCAGCAGCCGCGGUAAGACGUAGGGGGCGAGCGUUGUCCGGAAUUACUGGGCGUAAAGAGCACGUAGGCGGGAACUUAAGUCAGGUGUGAAAGACCGGGGCUCAACUCCGGGGUUGCACUUGAAACUGGGUUUCUUGAGGGCAGGAGAGGAAAGCAGAAUUCCUGGUGUAGCGGUGAAAUGCGUAGAUAUGGGGAGGAACACCAGUGGCGAAGGCGGCCUUCUGGACGGUGUCUGACACUGAGGCGCGAAAGCCAGGGGAGCGAACGGGAUUAGAAACCCCUGUAGUCC
RNAcentral lists this ribosomal RNA (451 nucleotides) under uncultured bacterium. RNAcentral's name for it is "partial 16S ribosomal RNA". It matches the Rfam family "Bacterial small subunit ribosomal RNA", at positions 354 to 796 of the family's 1533-position model. The record is from RNAcentral.